UACGUAGGGUGCAAGCGUUGUCCGGAAUUAUUGGGCGUAAAGAGCUCGUAGGCGGUCUGUCGCGUCUGCUGUGAAAACUCGGGGCUUAACCCCGGGCCUGCAGUGGGUACGGGCAGACUAGAGUGCGGUAGGGGAGACUGGAAUUCCUGGUGUAGCGGUGAAAUGCGCAGAGAUCCGGAAGAACACCGGUGGCGAAGGCGGUCUGCUGGGGUGAUGCUGACACUGAUGCGCGACAGCGUGGGGAGCAAACAGG
RNAcentral lists this ribosomal RNA (253 nucleotides) under uncultured bacterium. Its description in RNAcentral is "partial 16S ribosomal RNA". It matches the Rfam family "Bacterial small subunit ribosomal RNA", at positions 524 to 776 of the family's 1533-position model. The record is from RNAcentral.